AAGAAAGUGGCAGAGUGGUGAUGUAGUUGGCUUGAAACCAACUUAUGGGGGUUCGAUUCCUUCCUUUCUUG
This 71-nucleotide transfer RNA is filed under the name Squatina formosa (Taiwan angleshark). Its description in RNAcentral is "tRNA-Ser". It matches the Rfam family "tRNA". Rfam says of the family: Transfer RNA (tRNA) molecules are approximately 80 nucleotides in length. Their secondary structure includes four short double-helical elements and three loops (D, anti-codon, and T loops). Further hydrogen bonds mediate the characteristic L-shaped molecular structure. tRNAs have two regions of fundamental functional importance: the anti-codon, which is responsible for specific mRNA codon recognition, and the 3' end, to which the tRNAs corresponding amino acid is attached (by aminoacyl-tRNA synthetases). tRNAs cope with the degeneracy of the genetic code in two manners: having more than one tRNA (with a specific anti-codon) for a particular amino acid; and 'wobble' base-pairing, i.e. permitting non-standard base-pairing at the 3rd anti-codon position. Lineage: Eukaryota; Metazoa; Chordata; Chondrichthyes; Squatinidae. The record is from RNAcentral.